UACGAAGGGGGCUAGCGUUGUUCGGAAUUACUGGGCGUAAAGCGCACGUAGGCGGAUAUUUAAGUCAGGGGUGAAAUCCCAGAGCUCAACUCUGGAACUGCCUUUGAUACUGGGUAUCUUGAGUAUGGAAGAGGUAAGUGGAAUUGCGAGUGUAGAGGUGAAAUUCGUAGAUAUUCGCAGGAACACCAGUGGCGAAGGCGGCUUACUGGCCCAUAACUGACGCUGAGGUGCGAAAGCGUGGGGAGCAAACAGG
This 253-nucleotide ribosomal RNA is filed under the name uncultured bacterium. RNAcentral describes it as "partial 16S ribosomal RNA". It matches the Rfam family "Bacterial small subunit ribosomal RNA", at positions 524 to 776 of the family's 1533-position model. The record is from RNAcentral.